GCCUAACUUAUGGGAUAGAACCAUUAAAUAAAAUGCGAUCUGUAUAGAAUAAGGUCCAACAAGAACCUUGCUACCUGCUGGUGGAAUGUUUAUAUCCACCAGUCUUCUGAAAACCCUUCAUAUAUAUCUUCCUUUUGUUACCCUUUUUGCCUUCUGAAUUAGCUGUUCAGAACCCUAGCCUUCAUACACCGCUUGCCUUUGAACAAUCUCUGAAGAUAUUCGUGAUCGAGAUCGAUGAUGGUGGAGUUAUUUGUGUUGGGGUGCACAGGAAUUGUCAUGUUUCUUCACGGAGCCAACUUCGUCUUCCACCUUAUUUCCCAACACUUUGUAUUUCGAUCUAUCAGCUUUCUGGGAUUCGUUGGGUGGUAGAUGGACCAGAAAGGAAAGGCAAAGCUAAGAAGAAACGAUCAUAGAUCGAGUGCUCUAGAAAUUAGGUAGCUUAACGAAGUUAUAUUGUACUAUGUUAGCUCAACCAUCUGGUAAGCUCCCAAAAAAUAGAGCCUAAAAGAGUAAGGGCCAAAUAAGAAAAAGCUCCAAAAAAAUGGAGUUUUCAUUGAUCUAGCUAAACCAAUAAUGUGAAUUUUGUUUCUGCAACGCAAUAAUAAUGCAUGUUGCUUCACAUUUUGGAAUA
Molecule: long non-coding RNA, 631 nt
Organism: Rosa chinensis
Lineage: Eukaryota; Viridiplantae; Streptophyta; Magnoliopsida; Rosales; Rosaceae
Exons: 2
Source: RefSeq, a predicted model, not a curated record